Helianthus annuus (common sunflower) is the source of this 489-nucleotide long non-coding RNA. RefSeq lists it as uncharacterized. Lineage: Eukaryota; Viridiplantae; Streptophyta; Magnoliopsida; Asterales; Asteraceae. The transcript has 4 exons. The record is from RefSeq and is a predicted model, not a curated record.
GAAGGCACCAAGGGAUCCACAGAUUUGAACAAGGGAUCCACAGAUUUGCUGGAGAAUGGCCGGAAUCAGGUGACUGUCUGUCCAUGAAUCUCUCUGGAAUCAUGUUUCAGAUGAAGGAGUCUUUGCAAGGAGAGGGUAUAAUAUCGAGUCACUUGCUGUUGGUCAAAGUUGUAUCACAACAGAGACGAGUUCAUCCACCGAAUAUGUAUUUUUUGUAUUCAUAUCUGUCGUGUGGCCAACAGGGUUCUACUAUUGCUGGCUAUGUCAUCUAGAAAUGAACCUGCUAUGUCAUCUAGAAAUGAACCUGCUAUGUCAGCGAAGAUUCUUAAUAAAGCUGGUUGGAUGUUAUCGGACCAGACUGGUAGAGUAAAGAGCUUUAAACUAAGGGCUGGUCGAAUUUGUGUGCAUGUUGGCAUGCUUUUAGCAACCUGUGGAGAGGAUUUAGGACUGUGUUGGCUUGUUCGGGUCUUGGUGAAAGCUUGGUCAACA